CGUGUAGGCGGCUUCUUAAGUCUGAUGUGAAAGCCCGGGGCUUACCCCCGGAAGGGCAUUGGAAACUGGGAGGCUAGAGUACCGGAGAGGAAGGUGGAAUUCCUGGUGUAGCGGUGAAAUGCGUAGAUAUCAGGAGGAACACCGGUGGCGAAGGCGGCCUUCUGGACGGAUACUGACGCUGAGACGCGAAAGCGUGGGGAGCAAACAGGAUUAGAUACCCUGGUAGUCCACGCCGUAAACGAUGGGCACUAGGUGUUCGGGGUAUUGACCCCCUGAGUGCCGCAGCUAACGCAUUAAGUGCCCCGCCUGGGGACUACGGCCGCAAAGGUUAAA
Molecule: ribosomal RNA, 333 nt
Filed under: uncultured bacterium
Lineage: Bacteria
Description: bacterial SSU rRNA
Rfam family: Bacterial small subunit ribosomal RNA
Source: RNAcentral